Molecule: ribosomal RNA, 646 nt
Filed under: uncultured Lactobacillus sp.
Lineage: Bacteria; Bacillati; Bacillota; Bacilli; Lactobacillales; Lactobacillaceae
Description: bacterial SSU rRNA
Rfam family: Bacterial small subunit ribosomal RNA
Source: RNAcentral
GAGUUUGAUCAUGGUUCAGGACGAACGCUGGCGGCGUGCCUAAUACAUGCAAGUCGAACGCGUCUCCGUUAAUGAUUUUAGGUGCUUGCACUUGAAAGAUUUAACAUUGAGACGAGUGGCGAACUGGUGAGUAACACGUGGGUAACCUGCCCUUGAAGUAGGGGAUAACACUUGGAAACAGGUGCUAAUACCGUAUAACAACCAAAACCACCUGGUUUUGGUUUAAAAGACGGCUUCGGCUGUCACUUUAGGAUGGACCCGCGGCGUAUUAGCUUGUUGGUAAGGUAACGGCUUACCAAGGCGAUGAUACGUAGCCGACCUGAGAGGGUAAUCGGCCACAUUGGGACUGAGACACGGCCCAAACUCCUACGGGAGGCAGCAGUAGGGAAUCUUCCACAAUGGACGAAAGUCUGAUGGAGCAACGCCGCGUGAGUGAUGAAGGGUUUCGGCUCGUAAAACUCUGUUGUUGGAGAAGAACAGGUGUCAGAGUAACUGUUGACAUCUUGACGGUAUCCAACCAGAAAGCCACGGCUAACUACGUGCCAGCAGCCGCGGUAAUACGUAGGUGGCAAGCGUUGUCCGGAUUUAUUGGGCGUAAAGCGAGCGCAGGCGGUUUUUUAGGUCUGAUGUGAAAGCCUUCGGCUUA